GUCAGGCCUAACACAUGCAAGUCGAGCGGUAACAGGACUAGCUUGCUAGUUGCUGACGAGCGGCGGACGGGUGCGUAACACGUAGGAAUCUGCCCGGUAGUGGGGGAUAGCCCGGAGAAAUCCGGAUUAAUACCGCAUACGCCUUAAGAGGGAAAGCAGGGGACCCGUUUCUUUAUAAGGAGCGAACCUUGCGCUAUCGGAUGAGCCUGCGUCGGAUUAGCUUGUUGGUGGGGUAAAGGCCUACCAAGGCGACGAUCCGUAGCUGGUCUGAGAGGAUGAUCAGCCACACUGGGACUGAGACACGGCCCAGACUCCUACGGGAGGCAGCAGUGGGGAAUAUUACACAAUGGGCGCAAGCCUGAUGCAGCCAUGCCGCGUGAGUGAAGAAGGCCCUAGGGUCGUAAAGCUCUUUCGCCAGGGAUGAUAAUGACAGUACCUGGUAAAGAAACCCCGGCUAACUCCGUGCCAGCAGCCGCGGUAAUACGGAGGGGGUUAGCGUUGUUCGGAAUUACUGGGCGUAAAGCGCACGUAGGCGGACUAUUAAGUCAGGGGUGAAAUCCCGGGGCUCAACCCCGGAACUGCCUUUGAUACUGGUAGUCUUGAGUUCGAGAGAGGUGAGUGGAAUUCCGA
Molecule: ribosomal RNA, 630 nt
Filed under: uncultured bacterium
Lineage: Bacteria
Description: bacterial SSU rRNA
Rfam family: Bacterial small subunit ribosomal RNA
Source: RNAcentral